RNAcentral lists this ribosomal RNA (454 nucleotides) under uncultured Parapedobacter sp. RNAcentral's name for it is "partial 16S ribosomal RNA". It matches the Rfam family "Bacterial small subunit ribosomal RNA", at positions 341 to 792 of the family's 1533-position model. Lineage: Bacteria; Pseudomonadati; Bacteroidota; Sphingobacteriia; Sphingobacteriales; Sphingobacteriaceae. The record is from RNAcentral.
ACGGAAGGCAGCAGUGAGGAAUAUUGGUCAAUGGGCGGAAGCCUGAACCAGCCAAGUCGCGUGCGGGACGAAGGCCCUACGGGUCGUAAACCGCUUUUGUACGGGAAUAAAAAACUCCACGCGUGGGGUCUUGUAGGUACCGUAAGAAUAAGGAUCGGCUAACUCCGUGCCAGCAGCCGCGGUAAUACGGAGGAUCCGAGCGUUAUCCGGAUUUAUUGGGUUUAAAGGGUGCGCAGGCGGGCUGCUAAGUCUCCGGUGAAAUGUCAGGGCUCAACCUUGGAAUUGCCGGAGAUACUGGCGGCCUUGAGAGUGGCGGAGGUAUCCGGAAUGUGUGGUGUAGCGGUGAAAUGCAUAGAUAUCACACAGAACACCGAUCGCGUAGGCAGCGCACUACGCCGCAACUGACGCUGAGGCACGAAGGCGCGGGGAUCGAACAGGAUUAGAUACCCUGGUA